UCCACACUCACACAGGUGUUUAGCUUGUC
This 29-nucleotide non-coding RNA is filed under the name Mus musculus (house mouse). Lineage: Eukaryota; Metazoa; Chordata; Mammalia; Rodentia; Muridae. The record is from RNAcentral.